GUAUCAGAACAAAUUCCAGUAACAUUACUACAAGCAGAGAAUGAACCGAGCAUGGGGCGGCCAGUGCCUUGAUAAAACUCUAGACGCGCCUUCAAAUCAUCGAUGUCAAUCAUUCCUUCUUUGUCUAGACCGAUCUCUAUUACUUCUGCUAGGCUUUGCCUCCAGGAAAGGAGGUUGGAGUGGUGUUCAUAAGGACCAACAAAAACUACCCAUCUUUCUUCACUUCCUAUACAUGUGUUCAAUAUUUUCUCUUUCAAGAUUGAUGGAACAGCAAUUCCCAACACUUCUUGAAGCCGUUUUAUAGCGGCUGUAGUGCCUGAUCCACAGAAAAGGAGUGCAUCAUGUUGGGUUCCUCCUAAGCAUUUCUUCACAAAUUCAGUUGCCUCAUGGAGCAUUUUCAUCGUCCUAUCGCCAACAUAGUUGUCAGAUGUGUUACCGUAGAAGGGAAGAAGAUUCUGGAUGAUAUAUUCUUCAAUGUAACGAAGACAACGGCCUGAGGCUGUAUGAUCUGCAUACGUAAGUUUACGCGAUCCAAACGGAGUCUGAAUCUCAGCCAACCCGCCUAUGAUUUGUGAUCGCAGCCACCUUAGUUUUGCUUCAACACACGUAUCACUCUUUGGUGCGUCUCUGUC
Molecule: long non-coding RNA, 632 nt
Filed under: Helianthus annuus (common sunflower)
Lineage: Eukaryota; Viridiplantae; Streptophyta; Magnoliopsida; Asterales; Asteraceae
Description: sRNA HanXRQr2_Chr15g0678131
Source: RNAcentral